UGCAGUCNNNNGGCAGCGGGUCCUUNCGGGANGCCGGCGAGUGGCGAACGGGUAAGUAAUGCAUCGGAACGUGCUCAGUCGUGGGGGAUAACUACUCGAAAGAGUAGCUAAUACCGCAUACGACCUGAGGGUGAANGCGGGGGACCGCAAGGCCUCGCGCGAUUGGAGCGGCCGAUGUCGGAUUAGCUGGUUGGUGGGGUAAAGGCUUACCAAGGCGACGAUCCGUAGCUGGUCUGAGAGGACGACCAGCCACACUGGGACUGAGACACGGCCCAGACUCCUACGGGAGGCAGCAGUGGGGAAUUUUGGACAAUGGGCGCAAGCCUGAUCCAGCCAUGCCGCGUGCGGGAAGAAGGCCUUCGGGUUGUAAACCGCUUUUGUCAGGGAAGAAAAGCUCUGGGCUAAUACCUCGGAGUGAUGACGGUACCUGAAGAAUAAGCACCGGNNNNNNNCGUGCCAGCAGCCGCGGUAAUACGUAGGGUGCNAGCGUUAAUCGGAAUUACUGGGCGUAAAGCGUGCGCAGGCGGUUGUGCAAGACAGAUGUGAAAUCCCCGGGCUUAACCUGGGAACUGCAUUUGUGACUGCACGGCUAGAGUGUGGCAGANGGGGGAUGGAAUUCCGUGUGUAGCAGUGAAAUGCGUANNUAUGCGGANGAACACCGAUGGCGANNCAAUCCCCUGGGCCUGCACUGACGCUCAUGCACGAAAGCGUGGGGGAGCAAACANGAUUANNUACCCUGGUAGUCCACGCCCUAAACGANGUCNNCUGGUUGNUGGGGAUUCAUUUCCUCAGUAAC
Molecule: ribosomal RNA, 796 nt
Filed under: uncultured bacterium
Lineage: Bacteria
Description: partial 16S small subunit ribosomal RNA
Rfam family: Bacterial small subunit ribosomal RNA
Source: RNAcentral